UGUGAGGAAAAAGAAAAGAGCUUUUGUAAAUUCAUUGCUGAAAAGAAACUCCAAACUGUGACAUCUUGGAUUAGUGGCUGGAAGGAGAGAGGGAAGAGAUCUGCAAGACUGACAAAAGCCUUCACAUAGGUUGUGAUAUUCACUCAUGUGAAGCUAAAAGCAGGGGUAGAGAUGCUGCCUGUUUGCCCAGUGAAAGAAGGAAGAUAUGUACGUCUCGGAGAUUUCCACCCAGUGCUGUGGGUGUACUGUGUACAGCACCCGCUCAGCCUCACGCCGCGCAGCCUGCCCGCUGCACCCAUGAAGACUGAGAAGACUGAAGAGUUGGGACAAAAAUUCCUAUCGGAUAAGAACUGCUGGCAGCACUCAUGGGAGGACCUUGAGCCAGAAGCACAAAGAGAAAGAAAAUCCAUUUGCUGCUCAGAAAAGCUGAUAAAAGAAAAUCAAAUGCUAGGAGUAGACAUUGCAUGAUUGAAGCAGAUGCUCCUGGCAGCCCAGAGUUCAGAGAUGAAAGGAGAAGGUUUGGCUGGUAUUUUGGCUGCUUAGAGGAGGAUCACAAAACUACGAAACCUGGAUUCUGACCAUAGUUCCAUUCUGCAAUAAAAUAAAAGAGGAAGUUCAUAGGGUUUUUAAGGCAGAUGCAGAGCAGAGAAGGCUGGGAAGAAGCAGCCCCUCAGGCGGAAUGCCAAUGGGAAUUUGCAGUGUGAGAGGAGACCUAAGAAACUCCAGGCAGAAAACCACCUGAGACAAGU
Molecule: long non-coding RNA, 749 nt
Organism: Aquila chrysaetos chrysaetos
Lineage: Eukaryota; Metazoa; Chordata; Aves; Accipitriformes; Accipitridae
Exons: 3
Source: RefSeq, a predicted model, not a curated record